RNAcentral lists this long non-coding RNA (583 nucleotides) under Ananas comosus (pineapple). RNAcentral describes it as "long non-coding RNA (ACOM_LNC035213)". The record is from RNAcentral. Lineage: Eukaryota; Viridiplantae; Streptophyta; Magnoliopsida; Poales; Bromeliaceae.
GUGCUCAACGUAUUUGUAAAUCGAUCCAGCAGCUGUAGCGACACUUUUAAAUGUAGGUAUAGGUUAAAAAAAGUAUUGUUGGCUAAAUUACCGACACUUUUAAAAAGUGUUGCUAUAUGUGGGGUCGCUAGGUAUAUAGUGAUAGUUAAAGAGUGUCACUGUAACCUAAAAAAGUGCUAGUAAUUAGCAAUACUUAUUUAAGCAUCUAGUAGCCGCCGGAACUCUACCUCGUUGGCUGCUGUGGCGGAGGAGGACGAGAGGGAAGGGCUACUCGUCUAGGAUUUCAGUGGAUUGAGUGAAGGGAGAAAGGGAGAUGGUAAUUAAUUUUUCUUUUUUUUUUUUCUUUUUUGUUUGGAAUCGCGCCAAAUGGGCUGGGUUGGGUGGGUUGAGUAUAGUAACCUUUUAUUUUUUGUUGGAUUCGCUUUAUAUUUAGGCAUUAUAAGAUGUUUUUUUAAAUUUUAACAUAAAUGGGACACUUAGACAAAAAUGUCCUAAGUAUGUGUCCCUAUAACCUAAUUCUGUUGUAGUGUGGUGACAUUACGCUAUUUCUAUUGGUUAUUCAAUUCGCAUAUGACAUGGUAGA